Molecule: ribosomal RNA, 253 nt
Filed under: uncultured bacterium
Lineage: Bacteria
Description: partial 16S ribosomal RNA
Rfam family: Bacterial small subunit ribosomal RNA
Source: RNAcentral
UACGUAGGAGACGAGCGUUGUCCGGAAUUACUGGGCGUAAAGCGCGUGUAGGCGGAUGAGCAAGUCUGCUGUGAAAGCUCCUGGCUUAACCGGGAGUGGUCGGUGGAAACUGCUCGUCUGGAGGACGGUAGAGGUAGGUAGAAUUCCCGGUGUAGUGGUGAAAUUCGUAGAUAUCGGGAGGAACACCGGUGGCGAAGGCGGCGACCUGGGUGGAUACUGACGCUGAGGCGCGAAAGCGUGGGGAGCAAACAGG